RNAcentral lists this ribosomal RNA (443 nucleotides) under uncultured bacterium. Its description in RNAcentral is "partial 16S ribosomal RNA". It matches the Rfam family "Bacterial small subunit ribosomal RNA", at positions 338 to 795 of the family's 1533-position model. The record is from RNAcentral.
CCUACGGGAGGCAGCAGUGGGGAAUAUUGGGCAAUGGGCGCAAGCCUGACCCAGCAACGCCGCGUGAAGGAAGAAGGCUUUCGGGUUGUAAACUUCUUUUCUCAGGGACGAAGGAAGUGACGGUACUAGAGGAAGAAGUCACGGCUAACUACGGGCCAGCAGCCGAGGUAAUACGUAGGUGGCAAGCGUUAUCCGUAUUUACUGGGUGUAAAGGGCGUGUAGGCGGGACGGCAAGUCAGAUGUGAAAACCACGGGCUCAACCUGUGGCCUGCAUUUGAUACUGUAGUUCGUGAGUACUGGAGAGGCGGGCGGAAUUCCUGGUGUAGCGGUGAAAUGCGUAGAUAUUAGGAGGAACACCGGUGGCGAAGGCGGUCUGCUGGACAGCAACUGACGCUGAGGCGCGAAAGCGUGGGGAGCAAACAGGAUUAGAUACCCCAGUAGUC